Molecule: unclassified non-coding RNA, 501 nt
Filed under: Hevea brasiliensis (rubber tree)
Lineage: Eukaryota; Viridiplantae; Streptophyta; Magnoliopsida; Malpighiales; Euphorbiaceae
Source: RNAcentral
GUUAAACAGGAGGACAUUCUGCAAUAAGAUAUUGCAGAUAAUUAAAGAUGAGGGAGCAUUUAGUACCAUGCAUACUUUUCUUGUGCAUCUUCAAAUGGCUUCCAUGGAGCAGCAACCUGCCAUUGCCACUCUUCUUCUUCAGCUUGAUCUCUUGGUUGAGCCACGGAAGAUGAGCAUUUAUAGGGAAGAAGCUUUAGAGACACUUAUUGAAGCACUACACAAAAAGGACUUUUCUAAUUCUCAAAUGAUGGCUCUAGAUGCUUUAGUAUCUCUCUCUGGGCGUAUUACUUCAUCUGGGAGGUCCUACAUGGAAGCCUCGUUACUCAAGAUUGCAGGGUUUGAUCAACCUUACAAUGCCUUAAUGAAGGCAGAAGGACUGAAGAACGGAGAAAAUGAUUUGGCGGAAACAAUGGAAGAUGAAGAGAAAGCUGCAAGUUCUUGGGAGAAAAAAGUAGCUUUUGUACUUUGCAAUCAUGAAAAGGGUUCUAUCUUUAAAGCUUU